GGGGGAGGAGCAGAGAGAGAAUGAGACACAGAAUCCGAAGCAGGCUCCGGGCUCCGAGCUGUGAGCACAGAGCCUGUUGUGGGCUCAAACCCACAAACCAUGAGAUCAUGACUGAGCCAAAGUCAGACACCCAAAUGACUGAGCCACCCAGGCACCACCCCCCUAGCUUUUAUUUUAAUGCAUGCAUUUGUUUUGUGGAACACAGUUUGGAAAUGCUGCAGGUAGAAAAAUAUGAAAAAUGUCUACAAACAUUUUUCAAACUUUAGAUAUUAAAAUGUAUUUGGUCUCAUAAGCCUCUUUUUUUAUAUUGGUGAUUGACUUUUGUUACAAAGUGUUUGUUCAUAAAAAUACCACUGCAUGCAUAUACAUAUACACACAGACACAUCUGUAUGCAUAUGCACAGAUGGACACACAUGCUUGUAUACAGGCAUGUGCACACAUACAUGUAUACACAUACGCACACAUACAAACACGUAUAUAUACACAUAUAUACGCAAUACAUCAUAUACACAUACAUAGGUGUAUGUAUACACACAUGUGCACAUGCAUAUACACCCAUACGCGUGCUCAGACACAUACACACAUGUGCACACACUUACACAGGUGUAUACCCACCCUACAUACACACGCGUGUAUACGUAUAUAGGCAUCGACAAAUACUGGAGGACUCUGUGCUAAAGUGGGAGCAGCUCUCACCUUUUGGGGUGAAAUCCCAGAGGACUGAAUCCAUCUGUGCGGUUUUCUCCACCAUUUCUAUGGUUAUUUAUUCCUUUUGUAUUAAGGCAAAAAUAACCGUGAGAUGCCUUCUUUUGUUUUUUUACCAUGGCAUUUAAGACCGUCUGCUGAGCGCCACUCUGAGGGACAGCUCGCACGUGCCCCCGUCAAGGUGACUGCACAGAGGGUGUCUCCCACGUCAGAUUUCUGGAUGAGGGAGCGUCAACGCAAAUGUCAGCGGGGGAGCUCCUCUGACCCGCUAAUGGGCUGUGUCCCGAUUCGGCCUUCCUUUCGAGGGUCACUCUGGUGUUUUCUCAGCUGGUGAAGCCCUGACCCGCUCUGACAAUUAUUACUUCAUGUCGAAAGGGCGCCGUGCUGAGCUGUCUAAAUCUGACAGGAAAAGAUAGAGCGGCCCCCAUCAAACUCUGGGCCACGAAGCUCCAGCAGAGGGUUAAAGGUUCUGGAAUGUUCUGUGGAAAGACAUAACAGCCUUUCCUGCGCUGCCUCCUGCUAGCCUCCUAAAUAAGAUCUCACCAGCCCGUGGCCUCCCUCUGCGUUGGAGCUGAUGCCCUCAGACGGUAGCCCCAUCUCGGGGCCUGGGUCUGUGCACAGAAAAUGGGCCGAGAAAACGGGCCCCGGGGGCUGCCAGCUGACCACCUUCAGGGAGAAUAACCCGAAUCUCCUGGAAUUUGUUCCGAGGGGAAGUGGUGAGGGCGCUCUCUAGUAUGAUGAGAAAUGACCUAUUUAAAAUGCCAGCUGGGCGCCUGGGUGGCUCUGUCGGUUAAGCCUCCAACUUUGGCUCAGGUCAUGAUCUUGCCGUUUCCGAGUUCGAGCCCCGCGUCAGGCUCUGUGCUGACAGCUUGGAGCCUGGAGCCUGUUUCAGAUUCUGUGUCUCCCUCUCUCUCUCCUUUUCCCUUGCUUGUGCUCUCUCUCUCUCAAAAAUGAAUAAACAUUUUUUUUUCAUUUAAAAAAAAUUUAAGUGGAUUAUUUCACUUAAACCAUUCUUUCAACACUUAUUUGCACACGCCCGAAAUGCCAGCAAGGUUCUAGGUGCUGUGAGAUAGUGGUGGACAAAAGAGACAAAGUCCCAUGGAGAAUCAAAGGGCGAUUUAUACACACAGUGCAAUAUUAUUCAGCCUUAAAGAAGAAGGAAACCCUGUCACGUGCCGCCACGUGGAUGGAUGCUGGGGACAGACGCUAAGUGAAAUAAUCCAGGCACAAACAGACGAACACUGUAUGAUCCCACUCACAUGAUAGAGACCAAGUGCCUGCUCUCGAGGGGUCCAUGUUCUAGAGGAGACGUCUCUAGUCCAGCGGCUGCACCGGACUUGGGGUUCAGAGUGAUGAUCUCAUGCUCUGUACAGCCCUCCUUGCUGAGGCUCCCGCACGGAUGAGUGAAGUACGCGCCCAUUUUCACCUUGGGCGCCGGCCCGGGGUACAUGCUGACACCCUGAGGGGUCCUUGAACUAUCACACAGCCAUGCUGCAGCCUGCUUCUCCGAUGCCGCUGGGCACAGAGCUACCAGCCCCAGGGAUUCUGCCCACUUCCUUCGUCCCCUGGGGGCACAUCAGCCCAGGAUGUCUUCCUGAUGGCUCCCGGACCACAAGAGGAGCCCUGUGCAGAAUCAUCAGUAAUGGUUAAGACUUCCGGCUAAGCAGUGCCCUCCUCCUGAGUGUCUGACGUCAGCUCUCAAGUGCUCCUGCGAAUUGAGGCGAAAAAGCGUGAGUGACUUUCGAGGGACCAGUUAGAGACGAUCCGCUUUAUGUGUGUAAGGCACUUGAUAACACUUCUCGUUUGUGCUGGCAUUCACGUCCUCGCAGCGACCCAAACCUAGAGUCACCUCCAUCUGCCGCCUGGACUGCCGGCAGCAUCCACCCUUGUUCCUUUAAUUCAUUUUCCACCACAGACGGGAAGGAUCUUUCUAGCACGCCGUUUGUCACGUCCUUCUUCUGCCUGAAACUCUUCCAUGAUCUCAACUUUCCCUUUCAGAAUGAUCUUGAAGACUCUGGAGGACCCUCAGGCAGUUCAUGAAGCCCGAGGCUUGUUGUUAACACUGUGACCGUCUUCAGUGAACUCCUGGCUGGGCCCUGCUGACACUCUCUGCCUCCUUUUCACUGCCUUGUCUGGGAGCCUCUCCAGUCUCAUCUCUGACUCUGGGCCCUUCACGCCCUUUCUCCCAGCAGACCACCCCAGGGCAGCUGAGCCGGAGAGGAGGCCACCAUGUUCUUCUGUCGCCUGCCUCCGCGGCUUCCCAAGCUAUCCCUCUGCUCUGCGUGGCCAGGAGUGGAGACGGCCGAGGAGCAAGACACCAGAUGCUGCUGCUAGGGCUUGGCAUUAGGGAGGGUGGCUCACCUCGCCUGGCCCCCGGGGGAGAGCGCCGGGGAGGGACCUGCUUUUGAAGAACACAGAUAGAAAGGUCCAGCGAGGAACACUCUUCACGCAGCAAUUAACAGGCCAGAGUGGCACCAAGUGGAUAUUGCAGUCUUGUGGCUGGGGCACAGUGCCAUCAGGGCUUGGGCUCCAGAAGGGGCCAGCUGCACAUUCCCACAAAAGGUUGAGCAGCUGGCAUUACUGGUGGAAAAGCCAGUUUUCGAAGGGUGAUUUCCUGGCUCCUCUAAUUAAUGAGAAGCAGAGAUUUCAGGAUGGCAAAUAGAACUCCCUCUGGCCAGAUGCACAGAUUUUUGCUCUUUUGCUUCCUUGUUUUUCAUGCCUCUAAGUCUUUGCAAAAGACUAAAUAAUAAUCAUAAUAAUCAUAAGCCUUUGGGGAGGCUCCAGUUUUCAAAUGGAAUAGAAACACACAGGGCUGAACGGAGGGGAUCCAAGAGGCUCCCAGGCCCCACACCUUGCCCUGGAAAGCACGGAGCCCAGACCCUCUCUCCCUUGGCCUCCCUGCUAUAAUCUUCCUUACACACAGACUGGAUGUUUUCAGUGCUCUCAGAAAUUCCUAGAGUCUCCACUUCCCUGUAGAGUAGGAUUCAAAUGCCCCCCACCGGGAUCCAAAAGUCCUCUGUGGUUCCCCAUUCUUCCAGGUCAAGCUAAGCCCCGUUUCUAAAAAAAAAAAAAAAAAAUUUCCUAGGGGUACAUGAUGUUCUCAUCUUCAAACCCUUUGUGGGCCGGGUGGGGACCCAGGGUGCCGUGUCCCUUCUUGUGCCAGAGUGGAGGGCUCAGCCCAGCCCAGCAGGCAGCCUUGCUCUGGAGCCCCUGGCUCUCCUACCAGAGAUCUCAGAGUCAUAGAGUGUCAGAGCUUGGUCUAACCUGGCCACUUUAUGAAAGAGAUAGUGAGGUCCAGAGAGGGCCAGGGGCAUACUCCACAUCACCCAGCCAGCUACUGGCUGUGUCUCCCGCUGCCAUGCUGGGAGCCUGGGGUUACUCUCCUAAGUUCUCCUUGGUUGAUUAUUCUCCCCUGGCCGAUUAUUCUCCACUGUCUCUGACAGUGGCUUGUAAGGGGAAGUGAAUUCAGCGUGAACAGGUAUUAUUGGAAGAGAGACACAUGGAGAAUGGGUGAUGGGUUGUUGGUUUUUUGGUGGUUUUUUUUGUUGUUGUUAUUUUUUUGCAUUUCCUUGGUGACCUGUGCCCCAUUCGUUCUCACUGUUUGCAGAGGUGGUCCUAUCAUCAUCCCGAGGCCCGGCUGGGGCUGGAUGGGCUGGCCUUCCACGGUGGCCCGGACUGCUGCUCCUCGUGAUCUCAGGGGUCUGAGUUUAUUGUGGAGGCUGCUGGGCUGGUGGAUUCCUUCUUCCCUGUGCUCACCCCAGAGGAGUUGCCACAAAGUGCUGAUCUUCUGGUCUCAUUGAAAGUAGCACAUUCACGUGAAAGGGGCCCCGGGAGAGCAUUUCCACGCCCAAGUCACCGAAGCGUCUGCGUAAAGCUCCGGGCCAGGUCAACUGUUCCCAUUUUGUGAUACUGCAAGUGACCCUUCGGUGUCUGGGAAUGCAUUUUUCUGGUGUAUCAGUUCCUCUAGAGAAGGAUCGUCUAUCCAUUGGCUUGGGAUUUCCCCAUUUGUGGGCGUUCUGGAGCCAGGAAGGAGCAGAGGGCGAGCUGUCUCACCUGUCAGUGUGCAAGCCUUCCUUCAAUUCCCUUACAUCCAGUCCUGGACCCUCCACCACCACCUCCUCAAUACCUGCCAACUGUGAGGAAAGUGAGGUCUGGAUAAAGUAAGUGAUUUAUUCAACAGCUCUCCUGAGAAAAUUAGUGGCAGAGCAAGGUCAUGUGCCCACAACCGCUUUUAUGAUUCUACUUUACCACUUGGAUGUUUUGAGGAACAAAAAAUCACCUUGGACCCACGCCUGGAACCCUGAUCUCUGAUCUCCUACUUUUGGAAUCAACCCACUUUGAGAUGCAGGGCCCAGACUUUUUAAAGCUCUGUGGUCUAUGGAUUCACCAUACUCUAAGUGUUGGUUGCCCACUUCCGUCCCUCCUCCCUGGAUACUGACUGCCUCUAGAUCCAACCUGGGUGUGUAUAUGGGAGAUAUUCCAUGAUGGAUCCUGAAGAGAUGUGAAGACAUGGGAAGUUGGGAUUGUCUCCCUAUAAGACAAAUGCUCUUGGAUCGAUCCAACCAGCAGGCAUUCGCUGAAGGCUACCUGCGCACACAAAGCUAAAAUAAAAUACAUGGUGAUACCAAAUGCUAUUUUUGUUGUGAAAGAAAUACCUUGGAAUUCCAUUUUCAGAGAAUUCUUGGGGCGGUCAGGUCUCUUUUUCUCAAAGCGAGGCCCUUCUUAGGCAGCCCACAAAGAGGAAGGGCCUCAGGCCUCUCUGUCAUGGGCCAAGGGUAACAGUUCAUUCUAUGAGGCCAGAGAAGACAGUACUUUGCCUGAGAUUCCUUGUGUCGAGUUGCUGUCUUUCCCUCUAAGAAUCAGUGCAUUCCCUGGCUUAUGGCCUCCUUCUGUCCUCAGAACCAGCAAUGACCGGCGAGUAUUUCUCGCAAUGUACUACUCUGAACACUGAGUGUUCUGCCUUCCACUUCCACAUUUAAGGACCUUUGUAAUUACAUUGGGCCCACCCAGAUGAUCCAACGUAAUCUCCCUACUUAAGAUCAGUUGAUAAUCAACCUUAAUUCCAUCUGCAACUUUAAUUCCCCUUUGCCGUGUGUAAUGUAACAUAUUUGCAGGUUCCAGGAAUUGGGACACCGACAUCUUUAGGGAGCUAUCACCACAAGGAUCAAGUAUUCAGUUAACACUAAGUGCCAGGCAUUCAGCUGACAAUGUAUGACCUGGGAGACAGCUCAAAGUUCAUUUGUCCCAACUGAUCUACUCACCCCCACUCACUCCUAUUCCCAAAUUUAUUCCUCUUCUUGGAUGAUUUUUCUAUGUUGUUGACAUGACAAUCUGCCCAGUUACCUAGGGAAGAAAAUUUGGCAUUAUCUUUACCACCCCUCGCUUUCCCUCAUUAUCUCACCCCGUCCAGCCUGUCUGCCCAUUUCCCUAAGUGUAUUUGUGCCCACCCUCUCCUCUGCCCCUCUCCUGCCUCAGUUCAGGUUCAAAGGGCUCAGCUGGGCAACUACAACAGCUUCCCAGCUGGAUUUCCUGUCCACAUACUGCUUCUUCCAAACUGUACCCCACACAACAUCUAGAGUUAUCUUUUUUAAAAAUAGAGUUUAUAUUAUAUUAUAUUAUAUUAUAUUAUAUUAUAUUAUAUUUAUUUUUAAAGUUUAUUUAUUUAUUUUGAGAACGUGAGAGAGGGAGAGGGACAGAGGGAGAGAGAGAAUCCCAAGUGUGUUCCAUGCUCAGUGUGGAACCCAGUGUAGGGCUCGAUCCCAUGAUCUUGGGACCACGACCUGAACAGAAAUCAAGAGUUGGUUGUUCAACUGACUGAGCCAUCCAGGUGCCCCUAGAGUUGUCUUUUUUUUUUUUUUUAAAUUAUACUUUUCUUUGUUUUGAGAUAAUUACAGAUUCAUCUGCAGUUGUAAGUAAUAAUAUAGAAAGAUCUGUAUCCCCUUUACCCAGUUCCCCCAUUGAUAAUUUCUUUUUUUUUUAAUGUUUAUUUAUUUUUGAGACUGAGAGAGACAGAGCAUGAAUGGGGGAGGGUCAGAGAGAGGGAGACACAGAAUCCGAAGCAGGCUCCAGGCUCUGAGCCGUCAGCGCAGAGCCCGAUGUGGGGCUCGAACUCACGGACUGUGAGACCAUGACCUGAGCCGAAGUCAGAUGUUUACCCGACUGAGCCACCCAGGCGCCCAGAUAAUUUCUUACAAAAUAAUAAUACAAGGUCACACCCAGAAUACUGACACUGAUAAAGUCCAAGAUGUGGAACAACUCCAAUAUCACAAGGAUCCCUGUGUUGCCUAUUUAAUUUAUUUACUUUAAACAAUGGAGCCUGUAUGACUCAGUCGGUUAAGCAUCCAACUUUGGCUCAUGUCAUGAUCUCACAAUUGGUGAGUUUGAGCCCCACACCAGGCUCUGUGCUGACAGCUCACAGCCUGGAGCCUGCCUCGGAUUCUGUGUCUCCCUCUCUCUCUGCCCCUCCUCUGCUCAUGCUCUCUCUCCCAAUCUCUCUCUCAAUCUCUCUCAAAAAUAAAAUAUGACAUUAAAAAAUUGUGGUAAAAUGCACACAUCAUAACAUCUAUACACUCAUAACCCAUCUUUUCUCUUGUUGAUGGAAAAUUAGAUUGUUUCUAAUUUUUUUCUGCUUUUAACAACAUUGGAACAAAUAGUCUCAGACGCGUUUCCUUGGAGACAUGAGCAAAAGUUCUCUACUCAAGAAGGGAAUGCCUGGGCCGCAGAUCAGGAGAAUAUUCAACCUUGCUGGAUCUUGUCAAGUUUUUAUCCAAGGAAGAUUCUACUACUUUAUUCUCCCCAGCAAUUUGAAAGUUCCCUUUUCUCCACACAGAAGAAUCAGUUUUUUGUCCUGCAAAGGCUAUUCUGUAAAGAGUGAGUUGGGUGGGGGCGCAACAGGGGUCCAGGCACAUGGGAGUUAAGAGCCAGGUCAGCCGAGUUUCCUCAGGUCAAAACUUGCGGUCAAGAACUUUCUGCAAAGGGAGGCCAUAUUGUCUGUUCACAUUCUCCCUGGUAUCAUGGGGCUAGCAGGAACGGAAUGAUGUGCUUCUCAAGUGUUAUCCAUCAGAUGGAGAAUUGUGUGGGCAACCAAACUUCUCUUCGUUAUAGAAAAUUAUUAUUUAUUUUUUUAUUUAACAAAACUCAAGGCUGAGAGCGUGCUCCAUUGUGCCCUUCUGUGUUUUACGUGUUUUCUCUGCUUUGGCUCAGCCCCGGCUGUUUGUUAAUGCAUGUGUUGUAUUGCAAAUGUGGAACAAAUGAAGCUGAGAUAUCAAAUUAAUACUGUGAUCUGUUUUUCUGUUUUGUUGCCAUAACAAUCUGUGGCUCUUGAAGCAAAGAGAAAAUUAGAAUUGUAUUAAAGGUGUUUACACCAUGUACACUCCAUCCUGCAUUAUUGUUUAUUGCUAUAAUAAGUGUAUUUAACAUUUGCUUAAGGAGGGUUAACUGCUAUUGGUUUUUGCUAAUGGUUUUUCUGCUCACCUUUCCAACCUGGUUUUGCUUUUGACCUUGACUUGUCCUAUAGUUCACAGCAGGAAGGAAUAGGGAGUUUUGGUCAGAUGCCUAAUGACAUCAUGACUCCCUUAUGCUUAUUCCUCCCCUCUGCUCCCCAAUCUUUUUUUUUUUUUUAACUUUUUAAAAAUGUUUUUAUUUAUUUUUGAGACAGAGAGAGACAGGGCAUGAGCAGGGGAGGGGCAGAGAGAGGGGGAGACACAGAAUCCAAAGUAGGCUCCAGGCUCUGAGCUGUCAGCACAGAGCCCGACGCGAGGCUCGAACUCACGGACUGUGAGAUCAUGACCUGAGCUGAAGUCGGACGCUCAACCGACUGAGCCACCUGGGCGCCCUCCCCACCCCUAAUCUUUAGAGCAAUUUGAAGUCAGGAGUCUUGGUUAGAAACAAAGCAGGACCUGGAAUAAAUUUUCCUUCUUUUCUUUGCCCCAGUCCUGUCUUUUAAACCUGAAUAAGAGGCCCAACAUCCUUUGGGAGAGAUGAAGAGAAACUGAGAAAUUGGGGAAAAGAGAGGUGGAAGAAUUUAUGCCUUAGAAGCAGUUGUGUGGAAAUCGAUACGAAUGGAGAAUUGGGGUGAUGGUCCCCCGAGGUAGUCUUCCAUAUUACCCUAUUCCCAAGGUUAGAUACUCAGAGCCUUCUUUGACUGAAGUCCUUACUGCCCCAGCCAUCACAGGCCACAAUCUGCUGAGUCACAAGGUGACUGAAAUGGUGAGGCUGGUGUGGGGGAAACGCCUCUCUCCCACUAACUAAAUAAACUUACCCACUUGGCUGCCCGUUGGGGCUGUCUGGUUUUGUAAGCUCUUUGAAGGCAGCUGCUGUUCCCGCUCCUUUUCUCAGCCCACCAUCCCUAGAAAAAUGUAGGGCAAACAUGAGAAACUCCAGAACUUCAGUCGUUCAUUGUCUGGGUCAUUGUAACAUAUCUAAAGAACAUCCUAGUACUGCGGGAAGAUUGUUUAAAAAUGUACAACUCUUGGUGGAUUGCGCCCAUGUUAGAGUGUCUGUGGUUCCAGAGAUGAUAGAAGGAAAAGAGAUAUUUCUGACGCUUCUCACAAGAGUCAGCGCUGCAGAUGGUCUUUGUCUAUUUUCUUCUAGGUUGGGGUAGAACGUGUAGGGAACCUCCACCUAGUGACUGUGUAAGAAGAUCAGUGCCGUAGAGGCCCUGGUUCGUGACAGAUUUAAAACCUGUCCUGUGGGCACCUGGGUGGCUCAGUCAGUUAAGCAUCUGACCCCGGCUCAGGUCAUCUCACCGUUUGUGAGUUCAGGCCCUGCAUUGGGCUCACUGCUGUCAGUACAGAGCCCACUUUAGAUCCCCUGUCCCCUCCCUCUCCGCCCCUCCCUCACUCUCUCUCUUUCUCUCUCUCAAAAAUAAAUAAACAUUACAAAAGAUGUCCUUCUGUUGUCCUUUACUGCCCAGGGGGUCUGGAGUCAAGCCUAAAGGUCAGGGCAGAAUGAAGGCCCUUUCUUGGGCGAAUCUCUUUUUGGGCACAAUAGACACAGACCUAGAGUGAGCCUUGGUUAUGUCAGCAAUACAGGCCAAAAAAAGCCCAUUAGUUCUAAGAAAACCAACCUCUCUCUCAAGGCUAAAGUUAUCUUCUUUCUCAGAUUCUUGUCCUUGGAUGUGCACAUGUGUGUGCCCACGCGCACGCACACACACACACACACACACACACACACUUAAAAAGAAAGGAUAAAGAAAGAAAAUGGGUUUGGAGGUCCAGGUUAGCGCGUGAGCGGUCACAGUAUUAUCACGCAGGAGGCAGCUGCUUGUGACUAUGGCAACUUCAAUCCCGAGGGAGAAGUGUGAAAUGGAAGGAAUAUUAAUCAGGUCGGGGGAAGGAAGAUGCAUUCGGAAGGGAUGGGAGUGGCAGAGGGGCCCAAGAGGGCUGGGUAGGGCCGGCUCUGGUGCAUUUUCGGGAAAAGCCAUCAUGCACUGUUGGUCUCCCUUGUCUUGCCUCGGGCCCCACCUUUCCGCCUGGACGCCCCCAUCCCGAGUCUAGGGCAGAGGCCGCCUCUGGAACUAGGUACUAAGAAGCAUGAGGCAAGGUGCGGACAUCCCCAAACACGGCCUUUUUACUUUUAGGAAUAACUGGUUUGAAAUGUUCCGUCUAGUCUCAAUGUCGCUCACUCAGGCAUCUCUGACAAGGGUGAGGGACCACAGUUAAUUCCUUUGUCCUGGUGGCUCUACUGUCUGUGCCGCCGGAGCGAGCACUGUCUCCAUGGAUCUCAGUUGCUUGGAAAGUGUCACAUCCACUACUUGAAUUCAGUCACCGAUUCUGACUAUCAGAGUUCAUAUCAUGGUGUGUUUAUUCUCGUGCUGGAUCCUUCACCGAGGUGCAGACUUGUGAAGUAACUUGUCCAGGCUCACACAAAGAGUGAACACCGCACUUUAGAGCACUUUGCCAUUCUGCUCGCUUAAACAAGCGCCAGCGUGUAUGUGUGUGACGAAGGGCCACCGGAGCUCUGCUGAAUGUUCUUUGGUUGAAUUCCCGGGUGACUACAUGGUCUGAAUGUCAGCGACUAAAACACAGUUACAAGAGAGCAGCUCUCGGUAACUAUGCUUACGGAAACGUGUGCUUCCUACCUUGCAUGAUACAUGACAGUUUCAUUUGUUCCAAAUAAAUUCCUAACACUAUCCAUCACCAUGGAUUCUGCUGAUAAAAUGCCCCUAUUAUGGUUCCUUUAAAAACAUUUAGGAAACGUGUGCAUUUUUAUUUGUGAGGGUGGGUAAUAUUGUGAAAUAUUAACAUAAUCUCGCACCUCUCAAGGACACACACAUUUUGCUCCUCAGCGCUACCCUUGAUGGAGGGCGUCAGCAAACAGGCCUCCGUUUUCCCAGAGUAGGUUUGGCAGACUUAGCAAAUACAUAUCUAGGAUGCUCAGUUCACUCCGAAUCAGAAAAAUGACAAAUAAUUUUUAGCAUAAUUAUAUCCUAUGCAAUAUUUGGGACGUAUACUAACAAUUUUUUGUCAUUUACCUGAAAUUCAAACGUCACUGGGUGACUCGUAUUUGCUCUGACAACCCAACCCCAAAGGAGGGUGAAAUCAAAGAAGAAAAGUAACAAAUGCUUGGCUUUUUUUUUUAAAUUUUUUUUUUUACGUUUACUUAUUUUUGAGACAGAAACACAGACCGAGGGGCGGGGUGGGCAGAGAGACAGGGAGACACAGAAUCUGAAGCAGGCUCCAGGCUCUCAGCUGUCAACACAGAGCCUGACGCAGGGCUCGAACUGAAGGCGCGAGAGAUCAUGACCUGAGCGGAAGUUCGACGCUCAACUGAGCCACCCAGGCACCCCACAAACGCUUGGCUUUUAAGUUUAAAAACUGUGAUUUAGUGUAAAAUAAAAACACUGGGAAGACUGCUUGCCGAGUGUUUUUAUUUAUCUGCAUGGGAGAAAAGAACCGUGGCCUGGGUAAGGGGCAGGGGCUGGAGCCAGAAAAGGAAGAGACGGUGCUGACUGUAACGGUUCCUUGCUCCGCAAAGAACAAUACUUUCCCCAACUACCCUGGAGGAUCCUAGAGCAGCCGGGCUUGGGAACCGGGACGGAGGCGUGGCUCGCGGUAGCACCACCCACUCCCGCCCCCCAGUCCCAGAGUGCAGUGCGCAAGGAACUUCCCAGCGUUCCUCGCGGCGCCGCAGAUCAGCCCCGCCUUUGGGAGGUCACCCCAGGGCGGGGGACCCACAGGGCUUCAGCCAAGGUCAAGAGCUGGGUCAGGGGCUGACUGCUGGGAAAGCCACCACAGGACCCGAGGACGCAGGAAGCGCCUGCCGCGUGGAGCCUCACUACUGGCCUGCCAGCAGGUCUUUAUCCAGAAGCAGCAAGAUAGUUAAAGAAUGGAAACGGAUCAAGGGUGAAAUGGACAACGAAACCUGGCCACGAGCUCUAACGUGGCAGAAAUGGGCAGGCUGUGUGGGACGGAACCUGGAGCUCUCCAGGGAGUCCCUAGGGUUUGGGCUGAAGUACUUCUGGAAGCGAGUUGCCUCACUCUGCCUCAGCCUGCCAUGGUGACAUGAGCCUCUUCAGAGAUGAACUGCUGUUGAGUGAGCCGUCUGUGAGCGCUUAAAGACUCCACACGGUACCACUGCCAGCCGGGGCCUUUUCCACUCAGCCUUAUUUCCUCCUUUCCAAGGCCUCGUGCUUCUCUAUAUAGGUCAUCAAUCUUUAGAGCAAGAGGGUACCAAUAAAAUCGUCUAAUCCAGAACUUCCAGUUUUCAAAUGGGACUCUGAAGCCUGGGGUGGCUGGGCAGUGCUUUGCUGAGGUUUCUGCAGGUGCCUGCCAGAUUUGGAACUGGACCCACGUGUCCACUUUUCUAUUAAAACACACUGCCUCUCAGAAGAAGAGAACCAAAGCACGCCCCUGUGAAAGCUGCAACUAGCUGUCAGCCACAGAAACCUACGAGUGAACGAACACACGUUCUGAGGAUUAGAAAAGAGCCGGGGCGACGAGGGCUGGGUACCUUUGAGGCCAAAUGAAUGUAGAUCGCAUGUGCCUAGCGGGGUAUGUGCUCCUCCAUCCCAAGCUUUAGUUCUCCCUGUUACGUAUCCUUUGCAGUUCAGGGCUGGCUGACCAUUUUCUGGGGAGAAUUUGGGGGAAGGCUGUCCACCAGAGCAGCAAAUACUCACUGUUUAUGGUACCUGCUAGUGCAUUAAUAUUAUUCAGUCCGACAGUGGCUCCCGCCAGCCCUUGCAGAGUCCCAAGAGAGGUCAGAGAAUUCAUGGCCGCACCAGCACUGGAGUUGGGGGUUGAAGCAGCCACUGAAAAACAAAACAAGACAGGAAAACGGGGAGAGAAAACACAAGAUGAGUGAAGGCCAAGUGGCCCGGAAAGUAAUCGUCCUCUCCACGGCAGCUGGAGCUGGGGGCUGAACCGCGAGCCACGCUUAACGCUUCCCAUCGGAGAGACGCAUGUGGGGCUGUGCUUGGGGGCAAUUCUGGCGGUUAGGUUUGGUGAUUCAAGUAAGCCAUCACAGCUCUGUUCGGCCAGUCAGUGAAUACGCUCACUGCUCGUUAGUGGGGGUGAAUCGGCAAACAGGAGGCCGUCUUCUGGGUAGGCUGCCCCCCACCCCCCCCCCCCCCCCCACCAGCCACAGGAGGGCAGCCUCAGUCCUGCAGGCCGAGGCCUUCUCCUGUUCACCAGUGACUGGCACAGAAGGGGGUAGGGGGUGGGAGUGAAUGGCAGUCCUUGGUUUUCUCACUGUUUCUGCUUCAGACUCAGCAUUUUCUUUUCUCACUGAAAUUCUGAAAAAAAAAAAAAAGAUCCUACAUCUUCCUGAAUUUGACAGAAGACUUCAGGGCCCAGGCAGUGCUGGCAACAGGGUGAGGAGUCGUAGGAGACGAAACCAUUUUGCUCCAAACUCUCUCUUACCCCCCAGCCUUUUAGGUAACAGCUUUACUGACAGAUUACUCACUUGCCAUAAAAUUUGGCCCUUGAAGCAUGCAAGUCAGUGGUUUUAGCAUGUUCGCAGUUAUCCAGCCGCACCACCAUCUAACAGAAUAUUCUUACCCCGAAAAGAAAGCCAUCCUUGUUAGCUAUCAUUCCCCGUUCCCCCCACCACUUCCUGUCUCUAUGAAUUUGCUCAGUCUGGAUAUUUCAUGGAGGUGGACUCACAUAAUUUGUGAUCUUUUGUGACUGCUUCCUUCACUUAGCAAGACGUUCUCAAGAUCCCUCUGUGUAGGACGGGCCAGGAUUUCAUAGCAGAGUAAUACUCUGCUGUAUGAAAACACUGCAUUUUGUGUAUCCAUUCAUCAGUUGUGGACAUUUUGAUUGUUUCAACUUUUGGGCUAGUAUGAAUAAUGAUGCUAUGAACAUCUAACACAAGCUUUUGCAUAGCCAUAAACUUUCAUUUUCAUUUGAGUACACACACACACACACACACACACA
Molecule: long non-coding RNA, 14081 nt
Organism: Acinonyx jubatus (cheetah)
Lineage: Eukaryota; Metazoa; Chordata; Mammalia; Carnivora; Felidae
Exons: 15
Source: RefSeq, a predicted model, not a curated record